GCCUCCGUAGCUCAGCUGGAUAGAGCACAGGUUUCCUAAACCUGGGGUCGCAAGUUCGAACCUUGCCGGGGGUGCCA
Molecule: transfer RNA, 77 nt
Filed under: Oligoflexia bacterium
Lineage: Bacteria; Pseudomonadati; Bdellovibrionota; Oligoflexia
Description: tRNA-Arg
Rfam family: tRNA
About the family: Transfer RNA (tRNA) molecules are approximately 80 nucleotides in length.
Source: RNAcentral